GGCCACCAGUGCUUCCCACAGGCUGUGUUCUUACACUGACUGUACAGAAAGAAAAGGCAGAGCAAACCCACCCCAUACACACCUCAGCCCGGGCUCUUUGCCUGGUCUGUAUUGUGAAUAGGGGGCAUGG
Molecule: small nucleolar RNA, 130 nt
Organism: Pteronotus mesoamericanus
Lineage: Eukaryota; Metazoa; Chordata; Mammalia; Chiroptera; Mormoopidae
Product: small nucleolar RNA SNORA51
Exons: 1
Source: RefSeq, a predicted model, not a curated record